CCUACGGGAGGCAGCAGUGGGGAAUUUUGGACAAUGGGCGCAAGCCUGAUCCAGCCAUGCCGCGUGCGGGAAGAAGGCCUUCGGGUUGUAAACCGCUUUUGUCAGGGAAGAAAAGGUUCUGGUUAAUACCUGGGACUCAUGACGGUACCUGAAGAAUAAGCACCGGCUAACUACGUGCCAGCAGCCGCGGUAAUACGUAGGGUGCAAGCGUUAAUCGGAAUUACUGGGCGUAAAGCGUGCGCAGGCGGUUAUGCAAGACAGAGGUGAAAUCCCCGGGCUCAACCUGGGAACUGCCUUUGUGACUGCAUAGCUAGAGUACGGUAGAGGGGGAUGGAAUUCCGCGUGUAGCAGUGAAAUGCGUAGAUAUGCGGAGGAACACCGAUGGCGAAGGCAAUCCCCUGGACCUGUACUGACGCUCAUGCACGAAAGCGUGGGGAGCAAACAGGAUUAGAUACCCUGGUAGUCCACGCCCUAAACGAUGUCAACUGGUUGUUGGGAGGGUUUCUUCUCAGUAACGUAGCUAACGCGUGAAGUUGACCGCCUGGGGAGUACGGCCGCGAAGGUUGAAACUUCAAAGGAAUUGACGG
RNAcentral lists this ribosomal RNA (587 nucleotides) under uncultured bacterium. Its description in RNAcentral is "bacterial SSU rRNA". It matches the Rfam family "Bacterial small subunit ribosomal RNA", at positions 338 to 916 of the family's 1533-position model. The record is from RNAcentral.